This 253-nucleotide ribosomal RNA is filed under the name uncultured bacterium. RNAcentral's name for it is "partial 16S ribosomal RNA". It matches the Rfam family "Bacterial small subunit ribosomal RNA", at positions 524 to 776 of the family's 1533-position model. The record is from RNAcentral.
UACGAAGGGGGCUAGCGUUGCUCGGAAUUACUGGGCGUAAAGGGCGCGUAGGCGGACAUUUAAGUCAGGGGUGAAAUCCCAGAGCUCAACUCUGGAACUGCCUUUGAUACUGGGUGUCUUGAGUGUGAGAGAGGUAUGUGGAACUCCGAGUGUAGAGGUGAAAUUCGUAGAUAUUCGGAAGAACACCAGUGGCGAAGGCGACAUACUGGCUCAUUACUGACGCUGAGGCGCGAAAGCGUGGGGAGCAAACCGG